GCGGGAUUAGCUCAGCUGGAUAGAGCGUUGGCCUCCGGAGCCAAAGGCCAGAGGUUCGAAUCCUCUAUCCCGCG
RNAcentral lists this transfer RNA (74 nucleotides) under Corallococcus sp. H22C18031201. RNAcentral describes it as "tRNA-Arg". It matches the Rfam family "tRNA". Rfam says of the family: Transfer RNA (tRNA) molecules are approximately 80 nucleotides in length. Lineage: Bacteria; Pseudomonadati; Myxococcota; Myxococcia; Myxococcales; Myxococcaceae. The record is from RNAcentral. RNAcentral also lists the same sequence under 3 other names.